Molecule: ribosomal RNA, 2333 nt
Filed under: Chloroflexota bacterium
Lineage: Bacteria; Bacillati; Chloroflexota
Description: Chloroflexi bacterium partial 23S ribosomal RNA
Rfam family: Bacterial large subunit ribosomal RNA
Source: RNAcentral
GAACAAGCUACAUAGAGUACGAGGUGAAUGCCUAGGCGCUCUUGGCCGAAGAAGGACGCGGAGACCGGCGAAACGUUCAGGGGGAGCUGCAUGCAAGCGAUGAGCCCUGAGACUCCCAAUGGGGCAACCCCUCCAGAGUGAUGUCUGGAGACCUGCUGGUGAACACAUAGCCUGCAGGGGGGCAGCGGGUGAACUGAAACAUCUCAGUAGCCCGACGAGAAGAAAUCAAUUGAGAUUCCCGGAGUAGUGGCGAGCGAAACGGGAGGAGCCCAAACCAUCUGAUCGUUUGAUCGGGUGGGGUUGUAGGACCCACAACACGAAUGGAUCGACGACCUGAAUGUGCUGGAAAGCACAACCAGAGCGGGUGAUAGUCCUGUAAGGCAUGAUGAUGCAUUCCGGUGGGUAUCCUGAGUACCGGGCUGAUGGCGUGCCUUUUGUAGAAUGAUCCGGCGAGUGCAUCGUCGUAGCAGGUUAACCUCCGCUAAAGGAGGGCAGCCACAGGGCAACCGAGUCUGAAACAGGCGUGUGUUGCGAGGAUGCGACCCGAAACCACGUGAGCUCUCCAUGAGCAGAGUGAAGCGGCCCUGACAGGCCGUCGAGGCUCGAACCCACCAGUGUUGCAAAACUGGGGGAGGACUUGUGGAGAGGGGAGAAAUUCCAACCGAACGUGGAGAUAGCUGGUUCUCCCCGAAAUGCAUUGAGGUGCAGCCACGGGCGAAUGGUUCUGGAGGUAGAGCGCUGCAUGAGCUAGGGGCCAGGUGCUGGUUACCGAACUCAAGCAAACUGCGAAUGCCAGAACCGCAUACCCGUGAGUGAGACGAUGGGGGCUAAGCUUCAUCGUCGAAAGGGAAACAACCCAGAUCAUCAGCUAAGGUCUCAAAAUCGAUGCUCAGUGUCAAAGGGAGUUCAUCCGCCACAACAGCCAGGAUGUUGGCUUAGAAGCAGCCAUCAUUGAAAGAGUGCGUAAGAGCUCACUGGUCGAGUGGAUGGGCACCGACAACGUAACGAGGCUCAAGCAUCGUACCGAAGCUAUGAAUCCCUGGUGUGAAACCAGGGAUGGUAGGGGAGCGUUCUUGUCGCAGAGAAGCCAGAUCGUGAGGACUGGUGGAGUGACAAGAAGUGAGAAUGCCGGAAUGAGUAGCGUAAUGCGUGUAUGAACCACGCACACCGGAAGCCUGAGGGUUCCUGGGCAACGUCAGACGACCCAGGGUCAGUCGGGUCCUAAGCCGAGGACGUCAUAGUCGUAGGCGAUGGAAAGCAGGUAGAAAGUCCUGCACCGGAGCAGAUCACAAUGAGUGAUGAGGGGACGCGGUAAGGAAGGUGAGCCCAUCGAAUGGACAGGAUGGGUGUGCCGCACGAAGUGCGUGACCGAGGCAAAUCCCGGUCGCAUGAGCAUGACGACGGUACCGAGCGGGCGUAAGCUCGCGGAAGUCAUCGACCCCUAUGCUGCCAAGAAAAGCCUCUAACCAGAUCUCGCUCUGCCCGUACCGCAAACCGACACCGGUAGGCUGGGGGAACUCCCCCAAGGUGAACGAGCGAACCUCUGUCAAGGAACUCGGCAAAUUGACCCCGUACCUUCGGAAGAAGGGGUGCCCUAGUAACGUGACCGAUAUGGAAGCGUGAGGGGGCCGCAGUAAAUCGGCUCAAGCGACUGUUUACCAAAAACACAGGUCUCUGCGAACACGCAAGUGGAAGUAUAGGGGCUGACUCCUGCCCAGUGCCGGAAGGUCAAGAGGAGUGGUGCACGUAGCCACGAAUCUAAGCCCCGGUGAACGGCGGCCGUAACUAUAACGGUCCUAAGGUAGCGAAAUUCCUUGUCGGGUAAGUUCCGACCCGCACGAAAGGAGUAACGACUUGAGCGCUGUCUCGACAGGGGGCUCGGCGAAAUUGAAGUACCCGUGAAGAUACGGGUUACCCACGACAGGACAAAAAGACCCCGUGGAGCUUUACUACACCCUGGCCUUGAGCUGAGGUACACGUUACGUAGCAUAGGUGGGAGCCGGAGAACCCUCUUUUGUGGAAGAGGGGGAGGCACACAUGAAAUACCACUUUUCGUAUAGCUUAUCUCUCAGGCACAACCGUGAUCCGGUGUGCUCACAGGACCAGGCGGGUAGUUUGACUGGGGCGGUCGCCUCCCAAAGAGUAACGGAGGCGCUCAAAGGUUCUCUCAGGGUGGAUGGACAUCACCCUUACAGAGUGUAAAGGCACAAGAGAGCUUGACUGCGAGGCAAACAGGCCGAGCAGGGACGAAAGUCGGACUUAGUGAUCCCACAUUCCCGAGUGGAAGGAGUGUGGCUCAACGGAUAAAAGCUACCCCGGGGAUAACAGGCUUA